Molecule: non-coding RNA, 30920 nt
Organism: Oryctolagus cuniculus (rabbit)
Lineage: Eukaryota; Metazoa; Chordata; Mammalia; Lagomorpha; Leporidae
Source: RefSeq, a predicted model, not a curated record
UUUUCAAUACCUGGAAGUGCUAAGCUGUCUUAAUUUCUAGAGUUUUGAGGAGGUGGUGCCCCACUAUGGGGCCAUUUACUAUUUUUUAAAGUUUGUGUAAUUUUUCUUUCAAAAAGAAGAGUACAGGAACUAUUUCUAAGAUAAAAGAGAAGCAUGUUUUUAUCUUGGGCAGGCUAGGAAUGAACAGACUAAAGAACAAAAAAUGCCUGACCCUGGGCUGAGAUGAUGCCAGCAAGUGUUGCUGAGGGUGUUUUCUGUAGAACUACAUGGAAGCUGUGCCAAUAGUUCUGUUCAUUCCAGCUCAGUUAGCUGGAACUCUUCAUAGAAUCCACAAGACUUGCGGCAGUAUAUCCUUGGUACCCACUUAAUUGUUAUCACUAAUAUGAGCAAAGAAAAAGUUCCAUUAGAGCUGUAAACAUCAUCAAGAUAUCCAUGCAGUUAAUGGGAACAGAUGGUUUCAACACACAUGUACCAUCCUCAAAAAUUAUUAGGCAAAAUGUUUUUUAUUUGCCAUUGGAUUUAUGAAACUUGGCUAGAAAGCAAUGGUUAUUAUGCUGGAUAGUAUAUUAAGAGAAGUAGGUUUAUAGCACUUUACCUAUAUUAUAUCAUUCAAUUAUCAUUAUAACCCCAUUAGGUAAAUUUUUUUACUAUGCCCAUUUUACAGGUGAAGGAAAAAAAGAGUCUUCCAUUGAGCAAUUUGCCCAAUAUAAAUAUAUAAAUAUUUAGUAAUGUUACAAGAACUUAAGUAUAGGUCUCUCUGGGUCUGAAGCAUUUUUGUCUUUGAUUUAGCAGAUUAUUAUCCCAAAGAGAAAGUGUAUGCUAUCCAAUAAUUUAUUUUUAGCAUCUAUUAUUUUUCAGCAUUAUUUUAUGUACCUUAGAGAUAUAAUGCCCUGGUGAUAUUUGACUUAGCUCUCAGAUGUUUACAGUCCUUAAUGUCAAGGCUAAGUGAUGUGAGUAAAACAAUCAGUAAAUGAUUUUAAGAUGCAAUGAUUAUAUGUUGAUAAAAUGAAACCAAGAGACAAUCUAAUAUGACAUACAGAGCCAUAGAUUUGAAAUCAGAAAUGUGAGUUUAAGCACAGUUCUGUCACUUAUUUCUAUAUGACUUUAGGCACAUUACAUAAUUUUGAUCUGGUCUUGGAGAUUUGUCUACUAUGUCUAUUAGACUUAUAUCUGAAUCCUGGUCUCUUCCAAAUAUCAGAGUAUAUACAGUUCUGCUUAAGCUCACUUCUGAUAGCUAACAUUGAAGACAAGUCUAGAGCAAUGUGUGUCCUCUUACCAGGAGGACUCUGGUGCCUCCUAGGAGGAAUGGUAAUAUAGGCAGCCACUGAGCAUCUGGGGAGCAGUGAGACUCAGCAGUGUGGGGGCAGAGCAGGCACUGUACUUGGUUAGGAGCUGUCAGAAUGGUCUUCAACUUUUGCAUGGGUGGGCACAAGAAGAUAAAGAGAGUCUACAUGUACAAAUAGUUAACUGUUGAACAUAGGGAUACUAGUCUAACAAAGUAUGUUCUAUCCUCCCAUCAGCUUGAUAGUACUGGGAAUGUUUGGCCACCCCCAGCCUGUGGCCUGCAUACAGCCUAUUUUCUGUUCCUAUCCAGGCUCUGUCCAGCACCAUAAGUAGCCUCUCAGAUGGACACUCAACCUAAGUGCCCAAGCUCUUUUGCAGACUGCCACAAAUAACUCCUCUCAGUUACCCCUCAGGCCUAAGAGUGUUCUUUAUGACAGAGUGAUCUGCUCUCACAACGAUGGACUUGGGUGGGUAGGACCUGCCGGUGAGGUGUUGCCUCCAUAGCAGGCAGAAUCCUGCAGGGAGGGAAGUCCCUUUCAGAAAUCUUUUCAGCUAUAAAAGGAAGAAAAUAAGUAAUUAAUAUAAGCAUGAAUUCUGGCAUAGGUUGUUAAAACUUCAGCAUUUGGCAUAAAUAUAUUUGAGGAAAUAGUGUCUACAAAAUCCUUCCCAUUUGAUUCACAAUAAUGAUUAUAUCCCCAGCACCUAAUUCAAGACACGAUACAUUUCUACUCAACAAGAUGAAUAAACAUUUGUUAAAUAAAUGCAUAAGUAGACAACAAAGUCAUGUAGUAGAGCCAAAAUCCAUUUGAAUAAGAAGGAAUUCCACAGGCCAAAUCAGAAUAAGUGGAUGGAUGAAUGCAUAAAAUAUUAUUUAAAACAGGGGUGGGGAACCUUUUCUCUGCCAAGGGCCAUUCGGAUAUUUAUUGCACCAGCUGUGGGCCAUACAAAAUUAGCAACUUAAGAAUUAGCCUGCUAAAGAUUACUGAAUUUCGAUUCUUACCUGCAGUUGCCUUGCAAAGGACAGACCAAAUGAUUUCCCAGGCCUUCUGCAGCCAACAGGAUGGACAUUUCCCACCCCGAUUUAAAAGAUAAUAGGAGUACAGUCAGUUUCACUAUUAUAUUGUGACUAGGUAAGCAAGCUUAAGUCAAGAAUCAAGAUACGUAAGGAAUAAGCCAGAAUUGAGAAGGUGAAAAUAAAAAGAAAUAAAAUGUUCCUUGUUGUCCUUGGAAUUUGGGAUACAUUUUGGGGGGAAUGAGUUUUUGAAGAGAUUGUCCUCUACAGGUACUGGCAAAGUCCUGAGAAAAGCAAACUUAGGCUCCCCUGGGUUUUUACAGCACUGAGGCAACACACAAUCAACAACCAAACUUUUUGUAAUUAUGUGAAUCUAUAUAUGUUAUUGUCUGCCAGAUUUGUUAUACUCUUUUUCCCAUCCAUAGUGUAAUGAAAGCUCUAUCGUUUCUGAUAAAUCUAAGCAAUCUUUUCUUGUAUCACAUUUUUAAAAAAUGACAAAAUGGACCUAGGUUUUCCUUUCUUAUAUUAGAGAUGUAACCCAAGAUUAUCUCUCUCAGGAAAUUGUCCUGCUUUAUCCUGGAAAGAAUUCAGGUGAAAAGGGCUUGGGGAAAACUUGUGAAAGGGGACUUAAUGCAUUUUUAAAAAGUUGCUCUCCUAAGAGUUUCUCAUUGGCAACAAGAGUCUGGAAGCAGUUAUCCUUGUUCUCAUGUCAGUUUAAGAUAUUUAAGAUCUAAUAUAUUGAAACUCCCACUUAUUAGGAUUUCAAAUGAGAUACUUAAGGAAGCUUAGGGUUCUUUUAUUUCCCAGAGUGAUGUCUCUAAGAAACGUUCUUCCUCAUGGAGGAGACUGACUGUGGAAGCCACGAGAAGGCUGGCCAAUAGGUGAUGUUCUCAGCAGAAAGAUCCAGGGGAGUAAGCUACUGGCACUCUUCUCUGUGUUCAGAAUACAUCACCCAUCCUGUUGAUUUAUGAGAUUUCCCCAAUAUUAAUACUGCUUGAAUCCUCAGCUCAUUUCGUCCUGAAUAAUUUUGGCCUACCCUACCAUGCAUGCAGUAGAUUCCUUGGCUUUGCUUUGUUGAUUGCAUGUGUACCCUUUCAGUGUGCUUUCUACUGUGUAUCAAAAGAUAACUGAAUCAAUGGGGUAUUGGUUGACCAAGAACUUUUUCCAGUUUUCUCCCAACGCCUAUAGAAUCUGAUGGUUUAUAAAAACAUGUUGUUUGUGUCAGUGACCACUAGAUGGAGGUAUAAAUUUUGAAGCGCAGGAUGAAUGUUCCAUGUUUGUGUUUUCUAGAAGUAAUGGUACAAAGUAAUAAUACCAUUGCUGUGUUCUGAGAUGUCUAGAAAUUCUACUGCCUUGGAUAAUACUCAAUUCAUACACUGUUUCAACUCAUUUAGCAAAUAUAUAUAUAUAUGUGUGUGUGUGUUUUAUAUAUAUACACACAUACAUAUAUAAAAUUAUAUGAAUAAUGACAACUCUAAAAGUUAUGCAUCUUUAAGUUAGGUCUAAAUAUAUACAUAAUUGAAACGUCAUUAAUAAUGAGGUAACUGCUUCACUGGCUUCGACAUCUUAGAAAAUUCAUCUCAAGUUAUUUUACUUGACAAAUGCAAUAAUGCUAGUCGAAAUUCAGACUUAAAUAAGGGAUGAAUCUAGACAACAGUAGAUGAUAUUGGUCUUGAGAGCUCAUGUCCCCUUUUAGCUUCUCUGUUGCUUCAAACGAGAGCUCUAUGCUUUCUUACCACACAGUCCUUGAAAAAAUCUACUUUCAAAAUGCAUCUGAAAAUUGUGUAUUGAUAUGUAAAUUAUUAACUAUGUGCUACCUGUCUUAAGAAUAUUAUCUUUGAACAGAACGUAUAAUAUUCAGCUUGAAUUAAGUCUUUAACAGGGGGUUUGAAAGACAUGUAUUAGUAAAUUAGGCAGAGAAUCUGGUCCUCGAGGUCACUCACAGAGGAAGACCAGCCCACUAACCUGCAGGAAGAUGCGGAUUGAUUUUCCUCACAGUGGCAUUUGGUGCAAUGCUGAAAGAUUUUCUCUGGGUUUCUGACGACUUGGAGAAGGGUAGUUGAUUUCUUAGCAGUGGAGGAAACUACACUGAAUACAGCCCUUCAAGAAGGGAAACAGGUGAGGCUUGAGACCAGGGCAUUUUGCCUGUGGUCGCAAGGUAUUCGUGGAUACAAGGAGUCUAUGCACUGGGGGUGUCACCAAAUAGUCUCAAGUUGCUCAGUGGGAAGCUGUAUGAACCUGUGGCAAGGAAAGGCUCCUGGAGAAGCAGUUUGCCAGGGUUAAGGGUGUGUUCCGGAUAUUGAAAGGGAGGGGCAGGAGGGCAUUUCCUGCUCCAGUAACACACAUCUUCCUACAGUGUAUAUUUGAAAAUCUGGCCAUUCUGAUUUCUUGCAGCUUUCCUUGUUUGCAGUGGUCUGCCCGCUCCCUCCGCCCCCACCUCCCAGUACAGUGUUGCAAGAUCAGCUUCCUUGAACGUCCUCUGAAAAACCAGGUUCAAGGGAGUCAACAUUCAGAUGUUGUGCAUGGUCUCCCGCAUGGGAGACCAGGAGGAAGCACCUGGCACCUGGCUUCGGAUCAGCACAGCACGCCGGCCUCAACACGCUGGCCGUAGCGGCCACUUGGGGGGUGAAUCAACAGAAAACGGAAGACCUUUCUCUCUGUCUCUCUCUUUCUCACUGUCUAACUCUGCCUGUCAAACAAACAAAAAAAAAUUUUAAUUAAAAAAUCCAUAUUACACAGAAUUGGAAUGGGAAAUGGAGUAAAGUCAAAAGCAGCUCUCGCCAACUGCUCUAUUUCCAAAAAUUUGGAGUGAGUCAUUUUUUUUUCCCUCUCAUCCAGGCCACUCAUUUAGGAAUUGUUACUAUGUUUCUAGAAAGAGUAUCUUGCAGCAAAUGAAAAAUGCAGUUUUGUCAAAUUUACCUCUAAAAAAUUAUUUAUUUAUUUGAAAGGUAGAGUUACAGAGAUGGAGAGGGAAGGGUGGGAGAUAGAGUAAGAGUGAUCUGAUCUGUCUGUGAGAGCCAUAAGGAGCUGGAUUGGAAGUGGAGUGCCCAUAUGGGAUGCCAAGUACUGCAAGCAGCAGUCCAACCUACUGCGCCAUGGCACAGACCCCGAAUUUACCACUUAAAAUUUUCCAGCAUUCUGAUUCUCUAGGGAGAAGUCUUUUAUUAUUUUUGUAUUUGUAGUUUAUUUAUUUGAAAGGCAGCUACAAACAGAAAGAGACAUACAUCGAGAGAGAAGGAACUCUCCCUUUUAAUUUAAGUGGGUAUCUGCUAAUGUCUCUGAAGGAAAAUAUUCUGAAGCGAAGGUUCGGGGAAGGGAGGUUGGAGUGAACAUUUUUCCCAUUUGCUAAGAAAAUUUAGGGGCCCACUCAAUAAGUUCAUCCCAACACUAGUCUAUAGUUAUACAGUUGUUCCUGUUAUGAUUUACUGUCACCUUAUUAAUUAUUGACAAUUUUUUAUGUGAUAGUUUUCUGUAUCCUCUCCUAUGGUAAAUGUCUCCUAAAAUAAGCAAGCUUCUGUGCGACAAGUAGAUUAAUUAACAUUCACCUGAGUCUUUCAGGUCUAUGUGAACAUUGGUGUAAUCAGGCACAUUAAAGGGUGUGGAUUUGCAGAAGCACUGAAAUAGUAUGAUGUAUAUGCACAGUUCAUAGAUGUCAUAAGCUUUCCCUGGAGAAAAAGGAAACUUAUGAAAUUGAUUAGCAUAACUAUAUUUUAUAUGUUCACAUAGUCAACAAAAAUUGAAUAAACAUCUGCAAAGAACAAGUGUUGAACACACAAAAAAAAAGAGAUAACAGUUUGGUAUAAGAAAUACCAAGAUAAAAUAAAAUUUACUUGUGAUAUGAAUGAGUACAAUGAAGGAACAUAAAGUAUAUUAUGAGAAGGUAUAAUGGGGAACUACCUUAUUUGGGUGGAUCCAUUUAAAGCAUCUUUGAGAAAUUCACAUUUAAUAUAGGAAUUUGAAAAAUGAGUAGAAAUUAUCCAUACCAGUGAAGAGAAGAGGGUCUUAGGGAGAAUAGAAUAUGUGAGAGUCACAAGGUAAAAAGGUACUUGUAUCUCAUAAGCUAAGACUUCGCUCACCAAGAAAAUUAUGCUUCCUCUCCUUUUGGAUCCCUGCAUAUAACAUUUUGUUGCUAUUUCAGUAGGGUCCAAACAGGAAACAGAUGUCACAGUCAAACUAGGAAAAUUCAAGGAUAGUUUUCAGUUUAUAACCAUGUGAGCAGAUUGUAGGGGAACACAAGGGAUUUUGCAGCUAACCUGCAUUUAGCAACCAUAGAACUAUUUACCACCCUUAGACUCAAAAACACAUGACAAAGGGGUUUAGAAGCUGACAGUGGAACAUGUAUAGAAAGGAUAACCUUGAUUGAAGCAAAGACACAGGCAUCCCAAGUUGGCUUCACAAGAGGGAGCCCCACUUUCCUCUCAUCCUUGAUAUCCUGCUGGGACCACCCAAUGACUGCUCCAUCAGAAACUAGAACAGGGCAGCCACUUGAUACAGGCCAUAGAGUUCAACUUCUGCAGAUAGAGAACAGGGUAGGUAGUGGGAGACACAGUAGAUCUAGGGGAGCAAAUAUAAUAAAACUUCAUUUCCACAAUGGAAAAGAAGCGCCAGGAAGAUAGAAGGCCUUUGGACCAACUGUAUUAUUAUAAAGCAGAAAAGGCUAGCAGCUUUGCCUCUCACCUUCCAUUCUUUCAACAAAAUUCUUCACCUUUACUCUAUUACUUCUCUGCCCACUUGGAUGAAUUCACUUCCUAUUAGCAAGAUAGAUUUCAUAUUUGCUUCCAAUCUACACCCUGGGAAUACAGAAACCUGACAUAGAUUCAUUUUUCUGCAAGCUUCUCUGCAACCAGCUUCCUGAUCCUCUGCAUCUUUGUUCCUGGUGUAACUGUGAAUAUUCUCACCUACAGUGUAGUAUGGGAUUCUCAGGCUACGAUGUGCAUGAGAUUCAUCUGGGAGCUUAUUGAAAGACAGAAUCUUGUCUCUUACCCUCAGAGAUUCUGAAUUAGUAGGUCUGGCAUAGGAUCAUGGAAUCUGCAUUUGAAAUAAGCAUCCUAGCUGAUUCUGAUGCAUGGGAUCCAAGAAACACAUGUUAAGACACUCUGGAAAAGUUGUUAGUAAAGACAGAAAGACUGAAUUGGUACAUUUCUGAAAACAUUGAUCUAUAAAUCAUAUUUUUAAAAGCACAUUUAAUGUAAAGACAGAAAGAAUUGUGCAGUGAUUUGCUUAUUUCACAAUAUAAAAAUGAAUAGAAUCAUUGCAAUGAAUCCUGAUAAAUGAUAUAAUUUGUUAAGGUUUUACCUUUCCUCUAAUAUUCUAUGAAUAAUGGUUCAUGGUUCUUUGGCUUUGCAUUUCUCUAGGAACUGAUCCCCAGUCACCUAAUGAUUUUUUUUUUGACAGGCAGAGUGGACAGUGAGAGAGAGAGAGAGAGAGAAAGGUCUUCCUUUGCCGUUGGUUCACCCUCCAAUGGCCACUGCGGCUGGCACGCUACGGCUGGCGCAUCGCGCUGAUCCGAAGCCAGGAGGCAGAUCUCCAGUUCUUGUUUGAUUGAUUGAUUGAUUGAUUGAUUGACUUGCAAGACUGACAGAAGGGGGAGAGAUGGAGAGAACAUCCAUCCAUUGGUUCACUCCCCAGAUGACAGCAACCCAAGACUUGAGCCAUCAUCUGCUUCCUCCCAGGUGUAUUAGCAAGAAACUAGAUGAGAAGCAGAUACAGCACCUAACCCCAGGGAAUCGGGCAUGAGAUGCAGAGUGGACAGUGAGAGAGAGAGAAAGGUCUUCCUUUGCCGUUGGUUCACCCUCCAAGUACUUAUCCUGGUCUCCCAUGGGGUGCAGGGCCCAAGUACUUGGACCAUCCCCCACUGCACUCCCUGGUCACAGCAGAGAGCUGGCCUGGAAGAGGGGCAACCGGGACAGAAUCUGGCGCCCUGACCGGGACUAGAACAUGGUGUGCCGGCACCGCAAGGCGGAGGAUUAGCCUAGUGAGCCGCGGCGCCGGCCCCUGAGCCUCACUUUCUUCACCUGUUAAAUGAGAUUGUCCACUUCACAGUAUUCCUAUGAAAAUGCAAAAAGAUGAUAUAACCACUCAGCACUGUACCUGGCACAUGGAAUGAGCCUCUUUCCCUUUAAUCAAAAUAAAAGUAACAGCUGCAUCUUCCAUUUACUGAAUAUCAUUCUGGUUUUCAAGACCCCAUUAUUCACUGACAGUUGUAUUUAUCAACCUUAGCAGCAUAUUGGAAUUGAGAGUUGUAAACUUAUGAUGAGAGAGAGCCGCAAUCCAGAUGGAUCAAAUCAACAUUUCUGGAGGGGUGGGGAGUAGGGCCCAAGCUUCAGUAUUUUUUUUUUUUUUUUUUGGACAGGCAGAGUUAGACAGUGAAAGAGAGAGACAGAGAGAAAGAUCUUCCUUCCAUUGGUUCACUCCCCAAAUGGCCACUAGGGCCGGAGCUACGCCGAUCUGAAGCCAGGAGCCAGGUGCUUCCUCCUGGUCUCCCAUGGGGUGCAGGGCCCAAGCACUUGGACCAUCCUCCACUGCACUCCCUGGCCACAGCAGAGAGCUAGACUGAAUGAGGGGCAACCGGGACUAGAACCUGGCGCCCAUAUGUGAUGCCGGCACUGCAGGCAGAGGAUUAACCAAGUGAGCCACAGCAACAGCCCCAGCUGCAGUAUUUUUAAAGCUUCAACAUGGAGAGAAGUUUGAAAACGACUAAUUUUUGCCUUGCUACUUUUAAAAAUCUUCAAUACCAGUCCUCCUGUGGUUGUCAUACAAGUGUUCAAGGUCAGCACACUCAGCUGUUCUGCCCUCUGUCUCCAGUAGCCUCCUCUUUCCCUCUUCCUGACAUUUCCCUGCCAGCCCUUCUUAUCUCGUCCACUCUACCUCAUCACCACAUGAAAAAAACUGGGGUGGGUCUGCCUAGAGGAGCCUGUGAAGGCAGUUGUCUGAGCCAGGAAACAAGAGGUGAGACUACGGACAUAGCACCUAUUUGGGGAGACAAGGAAAGAAAUCAAAACCGUUGAAACACACCCUCCAGCCUGAGCACACAAGCUACCCACAGGCACUAGUAAUGACAUCACUAUCAGGGCUAAGAAAUACCAAGAGGAGAGAGGCCAACUGGAGGUGCAGCUCCCACUGAUCUCAAGGGUCCUGGGCUGGUGAAGACUGGAAUCACAGCAAACAGCAGAGUCCACAGAUGUCAUGGAGUGGCCAGUGAUUUAUACUCGAAUGAUAUUUGUCACUUAAUGUUUAUAUUUUUCUAACUUUGUAUUUGAUACAUAUUUUGAUAACAUUAUUUUACUAGCAAUGAAGUAGAUUACUAAUUAUGUUCAAUAAAUGUGCUCAGUUGUGUUAUGCAAUGCCAAGAUUAUAAUCUCUCUCCAAAGAAAGCAAUUCUGUCCUUUUUUCCAGCAUUGUAACCUGCGCUUCUAUCCCCUCCUGGUCCAUACACUGUUUUCAGCAGAACUUUUUUCUGCCUAUUCGCCCCGCAGAUGAAGCACCAUGACCCAAAACUCUCUGUGUCAGCACUUACUGUCUAACCAAACCCCACCCAGGUAAACCUCCCCUCCUUCAGUCGCCAAUCUGCGAUACACGUUCCUCAGUGUGAAGCGGCUUCUCUCUUCCAGAGGAUACGGAGAGGUAAGGCAAAGAUUCAGAAAAUAAAGUACAUUUGAUUGACACCAGAUCAAUAAAUCUUGAAUUCACCUACUCUGAAGGUGAAAUGAAGAGAUGGACUCUGUGCUAAAUGUAAAAUCAGCGGUGGCAGAGCACUGCCUGAAAUGAAAGUCAAUAUUAUCUCAGAGUCCUGACAGCCUUAUAACACUUGUCAUGAUUUUUAAUAUCAGAUAAAAUCAGGGCACCUUUCAUGUGCCUAAAGGAAGACACUUUUUUUUACUUCCUCGGGAUUAUUUCUUCUGAGACAAAUGAAUUGACUGCAGAGAACAAUGUCUCAUUUAUUUUUUUCCUUCUGUACCACCUCCAUCCUAUCUUUUAUGGUUUAUUACUUUCCCAACCUCCCAACUUUUUUUUUCACAUUCCUAAAAAGAAUCAACAAACUUUAUUUUAAAUAACCCAUAGAUUUAAAAAUUUAUAAAUGAAUAUGUCUCUAGACACAGUGAACUAAGUAGCAAAUUUGAAAUGAGUAUGCAAUUUACUUUGUUUACUUGGAAGCUGAGAAUGAUUGUGCAAAGAAAGCAUUUGGUUGAAUAGGAAUUCUCUGCCUGCAGCCCAGAGCCAGGAUUGCUAUAAACAUGUAAAUAACUUAACAAAUGAAGAUAAAUUUGCCCAGUUGUAACCUCUACGGGACUCCUAUAAUUCUAUGGUCCUAAAGUAUUUUCUUGAGGAUUAAAAAUUACAUUAAAAGCUAUAGAUAAAUCACCAUCUAAAAAAAAAAAAAAAAACCUGCUUGAUUUCUUUUCUCUAUACUCUCCAGAAAUACUGGAUUCUGAACACAAUUGUAAGAAUCUUAGCAACUAUAUUCCUAAAUGUGCUACAUUAUUAAGAGAUGUCACCUAGAAAAAAGUUAAAACAUUCAUGGUCUUGCUAUUUUUGAGUUGUUGUCAAGCCUCGUAUAUGCUCACUGAUGCUCGAUUUGCCAAGAUAAGCAAAACCUCCACAAGGCCUUAAAAUCAACCAUUUGAAGCAACUGCAAAAAUAUAGAAAACUCAUGAAUAAAACUUUCCUGAAAGCAAGAAAAAGACUGAAAUCUGCUCCACCCCUACUAAGCCAAGGAUAAGGUUUCUCUAGAAAAGGGGGGAAAAAAUAAACUUCCUCACUUUGCUCUUGGUGGGUAGGACUGCAGCUCUCUUAAGGUUUUUGGUUGUGCCUAAUAAUUACUUUUUUAAAUUUUAUUAUUUUAACAUAUAAAACUUGUACAUAUUUAUGGGACACUGUGUGAUGUUUUUGUACAUGUACACAUUGUAUAAUAUCCAAUCAGGGUAAAUAUAUUCAUCUCAUCAAACAAACAUUUCUUUAUAGAGAAAAUAUCCAAAAUCCUAUCUUGUUUUUCUCUGUACAGAAAUAUACAAUAUAUUAACAUUAUCUAUAGUCACUCUGUGUGAUAGAACUCUAGAAACUUCUUACUCCUAUCUAGCUAUAGCCUAGUAUCCAUCAAAUUAAUAAUAAAAGAAAAGCAAACAAAUGUGCAAUACAAAUUUUGUGUGACUCAAGAAUCCUUAUAAGGAAAAGAAGAUCGAAAGGUCAAAUCCUACCUGCCUUUAUGAGAAUAAAUUUUAAAAAAAGAGCCUAUUGUGAAGAAGUAACUGAAUUGUGUGGGAGACUAAAGAACUAUUUUAACAAGUUCUAUUUGUACAGAAUUCUCUCAUCUAAGAAAGAAUGUUUACUUUUCCUUGGCACUGGAAGGGCAACUGUUACAUGAGAGUUUUGUCUCCUGUUUUCAGGGGAAAAAAAGAUUAGAAUGCCCUUCUUUUAUCUAUGAUUUUCAAGUGCAUUUAGCUCAAAGAAACCUUUAUGCCAAAGUGGCAUAUUUGGGGUGGCAUAUUCUGCCAUGCUUCAUCCUUGUUCCCUUAACCAAAGAGCACUGAGAAGCAUAUAAAAUGCACUGAAAUUUCCAAUAUACAUACUUCCACCCACCUCAGUUACUCUGGGAGAGCCUGAGGGAACAUACCCGCUGAUUAGUCACAGCUGUGGACUCCUGGCCUUACGCCAACAUAUAAUGCACUGCCUCACAGGGACAGGAAGGAAUUGUGGAGGCCCUGGAAGUGGACUUGUAGGUUUGCUAGGCUCCCCAGCUUACCAUAAUAAAACCAGCUUCUCAGAGACUCACAACUCACAGGCCUAUACCCCAACUGGGGGUUUGGGAAAUUCACAUCCCCCAAAUAGCAAUAGAUGCUGAUGAAAAUCAAAGUUAAUGGACAAUAAAGAUACUGCCUCAUCCAUGGGCAAACAUUGCUAAUUUCAUGGAUACACAAAGGGAGACUUUAAGUAGUAAAGAUUCCAGUGUUUCAGACAAUCAGCAGUGGAAAAAAUCAGACUCAUUUCCGACCAUCUUAUUAGAGGAAGAGAAAAAAAGCUUAAGUCUGCAUAUCGCUCAUUUGAAUAUCAAAGGGGAAGGGAAAUUGCCAUUUUAAGUUUUCUCCCAGCAAAUUUUAUUAGAACAUUUGUACCUGGUUUAGGAACGUGGCCAUUUCAAAUUCUGAUGGCACCAUAAUGUCACACUGGAAAGGAAGGUGAAGCAACCCAUAUGGAUGAGUAAGCUCAGCACAUCCUAAAAAAACAUAAUAGGGAACUGGCUUAGUUGGCGAUAGCCACUUAAAGCUCUGAUCAACGCAUAAAGUGAGACUUUUAAAAUGACCAGGAAUUUGCUUUACCAAUAGUUGAAUGGAAGAAUAGGGUCUUGAGUGGAGAGAAUAGAAGAUACUAGGGCUCCAAGCCAACAAAGAACCUGCCAUGUGUGAUCAGUAUAUUUCACCUUUUAAAGCAGUGCACACACUGCUAUAGAGUACGAAGUGAUGCUUAAAAAUGUUCAAGCUGCAUAUGAAGAAGUUAAUCAAUAAAUAUUAAGAUUUCAACUUAACAUGCCCUAUGGCAUAUUGAAUACUGAAACUGGACUUACCCCAAAGUUUCUUGGAGCUAAUGAUCAUUUUCUUACUGUAUGUAUCAUAGCUUUACAGCCCCACCCUGCAGAAACAGCAUGUGAUAAAUACCAGAAAAAAAUUAUUUUCUAAAUGGGAACGUUAGGUGGUUCAUUAUGCUGUGGAUUAGAAACUGAAUUGUGUUAACCUUCACAGGGCAAAAUUUCAUUGCACAUAGUAUAUAGACAAUUUUUAAAAUCAAUCUCCUGGCUCAUUGUAUUUUAGGCCAUCAAAACAAGAAAUGUUGAAGAACAAAUAACAGAUUUUCUUUCCUUUUAACUUUAAAAAUUUAUUUGAGAGACUGAUUAACAGAUAGGAGAGAACUCCCACCCACUGUCUCAAUGGCCAGGACAGGGCCAGCAUCAGAGUUUGGGGUAAACAACUCAAUUCAGGUCUCCCAUGUGGGUGGUAGGCACCCAGUUACUUAAGGCAACACCACUGUUUCCCAGGAUGUCUAUUACCAAGAAACUGAGAUCAGGAUCAAGAGCUGAGUACUGAACCCAAGAACUCCAAUAUGGGGUGUGGGUGCCCUAACAGAAAAACAUCACUGUUUUUUAUAUCUCGUCUAAAUAAUCCUACUGGCAUUACCCAAAAAAGUGUAUAUACAGUCAUUCAAGGAUCCUAAACUGGCCAGCGCAGUGGCUCACUAGAUUAAUCCUCUGCCUGUGGCGCUGGCACCCGGGCUUCUAGUCCCGAUUGGGGCAUUGGAUUCUGUCUCGAUUGCUCCUCUUCCAGUCCAGCUCUCUGCUGUGGCCCGGGAAGGCAGUGGAGGAUGGCCCAAGUGCUUGGGCCCUGCACCUGCAUGGGAGACCAGGAGGAAGCACCAAGCUCCUGGCUUCGGAUCGGUACAGCGCCAGCCGUGGUGGCCAUUAGGGGAGUGAACCAACGGAAGGGAGACCUUUCUCUCUCUCUCUCUCUCUCUCUCUCUCUCUCUCACUGUCUAACUCUACCUGUCAAAAAAAAAAAAAAAAAGAAUCCUAAACAAAAGGAGAGUGGAAAGUAAGAUUCUAUCACUGUUUAUCCAGCAGUGACUAAGAAAGAAACAGAAGCUGCCACACUUCAAUGCCUGUCACUUGGGAUGUUAACUAUACAAGAAUGGUUUUCAUCAGCUUUUGUUAUUUUUCAUGGAAUAGAUGAAAUAGCUCUUAAAUCACUUUGGUGAUGCAACCAACUUCUAAUUAUUGACAUAGCCCCCCAAAUACCCUGAUAUAUACAGAAAUUUCCCCGGAGAGGAACUAUAAAAUAUUUUAUGAAAAGGAAUGCUCACUGCCUUUUGUAAAUCCUUUUGUUGGGGCAGUUACAUGUGAUUGUUCUCUGACAUAGUUUAGCAAAUAUCACUCUCCCUACAUGUGACCAUACAUUGUGCUCUGGCAAAACUAAAUUUCUGGAAGAGUAAAACUCAGAAGGGAAUUCACUACUGUGUUUCAAUACUCUGAGGCUCUGCCAACAGGCUGAUUUGCCCCUAACUUCUGUACUGUCAUCUUUUAACACCAAUAACUCCUGAUUGAGGAGAAGCCACCAAACAUAUAUGAAUCUUUAUUUGUUGUGAUGUGCUUGGACACACAGAAACUGGUUCCAUAUCUUGUAAUCCAGUGUCUCCUUUAUCGUUUUACCUCCAUGUGCCAUGACACAUGUAUUUCUACUCUGACAAACUUUUAUAACUCUCAUGGUUUUCAUUUUGGUUUUAUUAAAUUUUCAUCUAAAAUAUGCUUGUGAGAGGGAGAGAGAGAAAGGGAGAGAAAAGAAGGAGGAGGAGGAGGCAGCAUGGAGCUGUGGUCCUUAAGGUUAUUGAUUAGUCUGACAAUGAAGAAAGCUAUUGUAUGUCUAAUUUUUUGCCUUUCCCACCUUCAGGUUCCCAUAGAAAUCACUGAUAAAUGUAAACCACCAUCUAGAAAAUUGUUGGAAAAUUCCCGAAGGCUAUUGAAUUGUACAAGUGAGAACUCAUUUUAAGAGUUAGCACUCCCAAAAGAAUGAACAGUGUCUCUGUGAGGAAACACUCUCUCCCAUGAUUCCUCUUUCUUCUAUGCUUAGGGUGGUAUGGCAGAAGUUGACUAUAAAAUUUCAAAUGACUUUCUGAAUAAAUACCAAUGAAAAAAGAAGGCUAUUACCUUCCUUAUUCCCCUGCUUGAAACCAUCUCAUACAGAUUCACCAUCUCACUUUUCUCUGGAGUAAUUUCUUUCUCAAAUCAAUAUGGUUUGAAUACUCAAAUAAGUAAACCAGACAUGUGGGAACAAGUGGUCCCAAUAGAUAGUACUUUCUGUCUGGGAGAGGGGAUGUACUAAUUGCUAUUCAGACAUCUUGCUGAUAAGUUAAUUCAUAUAAAGCUCUAGCACCAUAAAAACAUUUACAUGAUGGAUAGCCCAAGUUCAGUAAUAAAAUUGCAAAAAUACCUGAGGAACAUAAAAUGUGUUUUCAAGUUUUCCAUACUUCCACACAACAGUUACUUAAUUCUCAGGAAAUGUCUACAGUAAAUGCAAAAGAAAGGAAAAGAUUGUAAUUUCUGUUGUGUCAUCAAUUUUACUGUACCACCAUCCUGAUCUCAUAGGUUUUCAAUGUUGAGGACUCUCUUGAAGACAUACUUGUGAAUUCCUGCACCUUCAUUCUUUUCACCCAUUGAAGUCACUCCACAGAAUCUAUUAGGUGAAUCAUACACUUUUUACCAGGGUAUUAUAUAUAUGGAUAUUUGUCACAUACACACACACAACACAACACACAACACACAUGUACCCCUCAGUGCCCCCAAACACACAUUGCUGUUUAGUGUCACAUACCCUUAGCUACCCAUGGAUUUAACUCCUAUUAUAACGACUCAUGUAAAUCAGUCCAGUGACCAAUUUCAUGAGGCAUAAAAUUCUGAUUUAACGAUUUUGUCAAGAAUAUAACAUCAAAUUUACUUACGAAAAGCAAAAUUGAGAUUGAGGUAUUGAACAGAGUUGAAAUUAAGAAGGCUCUUACAGAGACAUAGAUGAUUGUAUCUUGUGGAAAGGAUAUUAGGGAAAAGGGAGUAAACACCCAUGCUAGAAGAAUGAAAUGGGCAAGUAGUUGGCCUAGUGGUUAUGAUGUCUGUUUAGGAUGCCCUUGUCUCAUAUCUGAGUAACAGGGUUUGAUUCCCAGCUCAAGUUUCUGACUCCUGCUUACUGCUAAAGCAGACUCUGGAAGGCAGUGGUGGUGGCUCAAGUACUUAGGUUCCUACCACCCAUUUGGGAGGUCUAAAUUGAGUUCCAGCUUCAAUUCAUGGCCAUUUGGGGGACAACCCAGUGCAUAGGAUUUCUCCCUUUCCUUUCUCCCCACCUACCCCUGCCUCUAAAGCUAGUGAAGUGACAAAUUUCAGUUGCCAUUAAUUUCCCAUCUAUGACACGUCUCACAAUGUUUCAACUUAGACCAGGACUGGGUCACAGGAGAGGAGAAGCCAUGUUUUAGACUGAUGUAGAUAGGAAUGUCCAUUUGUAAGACUGAAUAUCAAUUUCUGGGACAAAAUUCAACCAUCCUAGUCCCCAGUCCCCUUUAUGAUUGUUAGAUCAUCAGAUCUGAUUUAGUAGUCCUUUAUUCAGCAUACGCUGAAAACCAAGAUAAAAUAUUAAAGUUCAUCAGAAUACCCCUUAAAAAUGUAGAGAGAUUUCAAAUAUGCAGGUUCCAGGAGAAUGUACUGAAGUAUGUACCAGGAAAAUAUGUCUCUGAUCCCAUGUAAGUAUUUCUAUUUUGAAAAUAUUCCUUGUCUAAAACCCAGAAAAUGUGUUAGUUUACAUCCAUAACUCGUCUAGUAAAGGGUAGAAAAUAGCUUUAAUCUGCUAGAAAAUGUCAUUUAAUAUGACUUGUCAGAUGUUGGAUACUAGGCAUACACAAGUACACAUGACUGAAUGAGGUAAGUGCUAUUGACAAAAGUAGAAAAUUCUAUAUGAGUAGUAAAGUAAAGCAACUUUUAUUUGUUAGAAGUUGGGCAGGUCAAAGAAACUAGAAAUGGAAGAGCAAAACAUGAGUAAAGAAUGGCACACAAACUGAACAGCCCAGAACAUGGUUGGAAGUCUUGAUCACUGGAGUUAGCAGGAUCCCAUGGUAUGACUGGGAAAUAAUACAAGAGGAGACUUGAGAGGGAGGAUAGGACUGUAUUAUCUGUGAAGUCCCUAAUCCCUAAAUUGAAAAUCCUAUUCUUAACUCAGUGGGCAAUGAAGAGUCUUUGAUGAUUUUAACACAAAAACCUGUGAUUUUGAGCCAUACAGAUAGUCCUAAUGAUAGCUUCUGUGUUCUCUAUUUGCGAUAACUAUAUACAUGUAGAAUGCAUUGUCACUUAUAAACACCAUGACAAAACACUGAAUCUUUAAAGAAGCUCAUAAUCUGACCUGGGAUCUAAGUACAUCACCUGUACAUGACCACAGCCCAUUUGUUCUUCCUUUUCCUGCCUACACUGAGAAAAGCAUGCUUGGAAAAUAUCCUGGUUAGAGCUGAGCUGAUUCUCUAGUCCUUGAGAGCAUGUUUAACUUAAACAGUAUGUAGUGGUAAGGCCAGAUAAACAUAAAAGCAAGAUGGUAAUUAGUAUUAAUUAAUGUCAAUUGCUGUUUUCCCUGAAAACAGCUGAUGCUGAGGAAGAACUGGGACUGCAUAGGCAGAAUAUAUGCCAACAGUGUUCUUGAAUUUCACCAAUUUUACAUUUCAAAAAAGAAAACUCUUUUUAUUUUUUUAGUACAAGGUGAUUGAUCAGAGGAAAACAGCUUUGCUUAAUGAGAUAAUACUAAACUGGAUUGUUAGCUUUUGUGCGGCAGACUGGAUAUGAAAAGGAUUGUUUUCACUUGGCUCUGUUUUCUGACAUGAAAUGAGCCUUGAAGAUUAACCAGCCAUGUGGUGUGUGCACCCCCAAUAUCAUAUGUUGUCUUCUACUUACUGUCAACAGUCCUUUUUUCUUUUUAAAUUGACACAUCGUUUCUCACAUUCAUAUUGGAAUUUCAUAAUACAGAGCCAGGAAUAUGCAGAAUUGAUUAUGAAACAAAGUCCACUAUGUCUGCAAAAUUUCCCAUCAGUUUAAUACCUGUCUACGCAAUGCUCUUAUAUCUAAUGUAUUGGACAGUUUUAUACCCCAAAUCAUAUAUCUAUCUCCCUGGGGCAAGGCCCCAAAACAGGAAAUUCAGGAAUUUGCCACAAGCCAAUAGAAAAUUUUCAGUUGCUUUUUCAGUUUUGCACUUUUCUAAUUUAAAAUGAAGUUAUGUACACAUCAUUAAUUGUGUCCUUGGAGUUAAAGAAAAACUGCAUAGACAUUUAUAGAAUUGUUAGAAUUUUAAGAUUACUGCUAUUGCUAUUUUUAAAAAAUCUUAGAAUGUUUUUAAUGAUUUAUUCAUUUUUUGAAAAUCGGAGUUACACAGAGAGGGAGAGAGGGAGGGAGAAAGAAAGAGUGAGGUCUUCCAUCUGCUUGGUCACUCCCCAAUUGGCCGCAAUGGCCAGAGCUGUGUCUGUCCGAAGCCAGAGUUGUAACCUUCAGAUUUUAUGUGCUUCUUUAAAAAUAGUCUGACAAAAUGUACAAUCUGCUCUCAAUUAUCAGUUUACAUGGAUUUGGUAGGCUAGACUGUGCUCAACUUGCAAAUCAUCUAAAGAUAAUUUUAAACUGUGUUAUUCAGAAUUCUGGAUGUAGUUCCUGCCACUUCCCAAGCUCAGUUCAAACACAGUUGAAAUUUGUUGGUUUGAAAGAAGGGCUCUGUAAAAUUAGGCCCUGUAGUCAUUACCAGGGCCCUGGAAGUUUGAGAGGUGUGGAUGUUCUACUGAAAGGGUUGGUACUUCUGGGAUCCAAGUUCUUGCCUCAGUGUGAGAAGAGAUUCAAGGACACAGCAUAGAUAUACAUCAGCAGAAAAACAAGAUUUAUUUAAAGCGAAAGCACAUAUUCAGGAGUGAAUACAAACAAGCUCAGGAGAGACAGCCAAAAUUAACGGAGUUAGGGCCAUCCUUUUAUGUGAUCUCAGGGCAGAGAAUGGUGUUUGUGUGAAGUUUGAUUGAAUAUUCACAGAGGGUGGAGUCUGGGGCAGGGCUUGAGCACUACCCAUUUCCUUGCCCUUUUUUUGGAAUCUCAGAAAUGUUUUGGCAUCCUGUGCAUCAUAGGAGUUGGGGUGUCAGCUGUGGUAAUUUUAUUAUAAUGACCUUGUAAUGAACUAUGGCAGCUGUAUUAGAUAAUCUUAGCCAGAGCUAGUUUUUAAGCAGUGAAACCCCAGCAGCUGUAGUCUGCACAGAAGGAGGUGGGGUUUCGGCAGUGCACACGGGGCUGCCUGUGUUGAUCGCGCAACCUCAUCGGUGCCAGCAAUCCUUAGCUCCUCUUUGCCGGCUACCUCACUGCCAACAUCAUCUGAAAGGGUAUUGGCAAAUCGCGUAAGUUCAUAUUUGUGGAAUUUCAGGGCAAUGGAUCCAGCGCAGCAAUGACAGCAGGGGUGUGGCGCUGGCAUUAGGGUUGCAGGGAAACAGGCAUCUGAGGCACAAUGCGGGCUGCGUGUUCAACAGCUGGAAUUUCAUUGGAGCACACACUGUGUUAGCCGACAGAAUGUGGAAAUUACUUGCUUUGUUUACUAACCUAUCAGAACACUGUGUUUUUUACAAACAUAAUGUUUAUGGUAGCUGAAACAAUGUACAUCUUAAAAUCUAAGCCAAUCAGUUUUAACUCUGAGUCAUAACUAAAUCAUAAUUUGUACUUUUUCAUAGCAGAAUAUUGCUUGAUAUUUAGAUCAUAAUUUUUAAAAGCACUUCAAUCUCAACAAACAUUACUGAGUGUCUACUGCAUUCCUGCCUUGUUAGCAACUUUUGAAGAUUCAAAGAUGAAUAAAAUCUGAUAUUUUCAAUAAAAGGCCUUAUUAAAUAUUAGUGUGAGAUACUGGAAUAUAAGCAAAUAAUAUUUCAGUCUAAAACAUAAUAAAUUGCACAGAUUAGUAGUUAUAAUAAUUUAUUGAUCCCUUACUAUAUGUAAAGAACUCUUGACGUCGGCAGGAAAGUAGCUAGCAAAGAGGAACGGAGGAUCACCAGCACUGUGCUGCAGCCUGUCCACCAUCGAAACCCAACCUCACCCUCUUUGGCAGAGGCCACAGCUGCCAGGGCUUAAGAACCUGUGCCACCUAAAUCUACUACAGCUGCUGGCUGCAUCCCAUAAGGAUCUUUAGUUUAUUAUAUUAUCAUUACGAUAGAAUUACCAUAGCCAAACUCCACUCUUAUUAUGCACCUGAUGUCCUAAUGCUGCAGAGAUUUCCAAUAAAGCGUGAAGGAAUGAGCAGCACUAAAGCCCUGUCCUGCCCUCUUUGAAUAUUCAAUUACAGCCUCUCCCCAGACCCCAUGCCCUGUGUCUCCCAGAUCCUGUAAAAGGGCGUUCCUAAAGCCUAUUAAGCUCAGCUCUUUCUCUUCAGAGCUUGAGGGUAGUUCCUUUCGAGGGUGGGAUUUUUCACUUAAAGUAAUUCUUGUUUCUCUACUGACUUCUCUAUGUCUCUUUCCUGAAUUCCUUCAGUGACCAGGCAAGAACCUAGACCCAGACAGUCUGGAACCUUCCCCAGCACUCUUUAGGUUACUAGUUAUUGUAUAUACUUCUGAUAAAUACCUAAUGAGCAAAGCAAAAUAUGAGGUCUCAGUUAAGGUACAGGAAAACAAAAUAGCCUACCCAGGGUAACAUCUACUAGAAGAUGGGGUUAGGACUUGAUGCUGGAACUGACUCGAGCAUAUGCUUUCUCUCACCAAAAUGUAAUGUUUCAACACAGAGGGACAAUGGGGUACUCUAACUUCCAAAAGGAGGUAAUGCCAGAGGAGGGUUUUGAAAAGGAGAACAGAUAUUAACAAGACUAACGCUAGUGUGCAACCAAAACACUGACAGUUUCAGUAAAAGAGCUGCCUGUGGAAAAAAUCACAGGAACAGAAUGGAAUCUAGAAAGUGAAAGUAGCCCUCUGGCCGGCGCCCCGGCUCACUAGGCUAAUCCUCCGCCCUGCGGCGCCAGCACACCGGGUUCUAGUCCCGGUAGGGGCGCCGGAUUCUGUCCCGGUUGCCCCUCUUCCAGGCCAGCUCUGCUGUGGCCCGGGAGUGCAGUGGAGGAUGGCCCAAGUGCUUGGGCCCUGCACCCCAUGGGAGACCAGGAGAAGCACCUGGCUCCUGCCAUGGGAUCAGCACGGUGUGCCGGCUGCAGCGCACUGGUCGCAGCAGCCAUUGGAGGGUGAACCAACGGCAAAGGAAGACCUUUCUCUCUGUCUCUCUCUCUCUCACUGUCCACUCUGCCUGUAAAAAAAAAAAAAAAAAAAAAAAAAAAAAAAAAAAAAAAACCUCCAAUUUCAAAUCUAAAAGUAUGAGGGAAGAAAUAGAGGUGGAACUAAAGUGAGGAGCAAUUAAAGGAACCUGCUUGAGCCCUAUACAACCUUGAGGAGCUUAGCUUUAAGAUCAAAGACUAGAGGGAGAUGGCAACGUUGGUGUGAAGAAUGAACUACUUGCUUUUGUGCUUAAUGAAUUUUAGGACCGCUGUACUAUGGGAUGUAAAUGGGAGAUGAGGAUGAUGGGAGACGAGGAGAUGGUGAUGAGCCUGUUGCACUUGCUAGCUAAGGGAAGGAUGGGCUUUGUUGAACAUGGCGGUUGUCAUACAGGGAAUACAGCAGGUACAAGAGAAAGCUCAGAGGGAGAACAGACUUGGGUGGUGAGGGAGGAGUGAAAGAGUGGGAGCAACUAGGUUGACACCGGGGAGUCCACCUGGGUGUUUUUGAAGUUAAGUAAAUGCAGAUGAAAUCCCUUUCAUUGAGGACAAAAUUUGUAGGUCUUAGAUUUUAUUUUCUAUUUACAAAAAUUAAUGUUAGAUUCUCGGUCAUGGCAAAUGCAACACAAUCCUCAGUUGAAAAAUACUAAACUGUCUUGAAUUUUUUGAAAGUACAAAUGAAACUUUGCUGACAUAGUUAUCUAAUAGCUAGGAAACUGUUACAAAACUCCAAGGGAAAAACAUAUCCUCAUUGUGCCAAAAUAACUCCUCUUACAUCGUGUUAGUCAUCAUUAUAUAAUGAGGUUUUUUUCUAAGGGAUUAUAUUAAAUAACACUGAUUCCUAGUUUCUUUAUCCACAAAGUAGACAAUUUCCACAAUAGCACUGCCAUCUUCUGCAGUUCAGCAACUAUAAUUGCUAGUGCUAGAGUGGCUAUCUUCUGUCUGUGGGAGCAUGUUCUCUUCAGGUCAAUGUCUGUUUCAAACACUGACAUAGUCCUAGUUGCAUCAGCUUUCAGGAAGCCCUUCUGUUGAAGAUUGUAGAGUACACAAUUGGUGGGUGUUUGGCCUAGUGGCUAACAUACUGGUUAGGGUGUAUACCUUCCAUAUCAAAGAACCUAGGUUUGUCCCCUGACUCUAACCUCUGAUUCUAACUUCCUGCUAAUGCAGACCCUGGGAGGUAGUGGUAACAGCCCAAAUUGCUGAGUUCCUGUAACCCAUAUGGGAAACCUGGGUUGAGUUCCCAGCUUUGGCCUUAGCCAGCAGAAAGGAUUUCUCUCCCCUUCUCUCUCUCCCUUUCUCUUUCAAGUUAACUUUAAAAAGAAAUGCAAAUCAGUACUCCCUGAAACCUGGGAAUUAUCUGGGGGAUUCAGUUAAAAAAAAUCUUGAUUAUAAGCAAUAUAUUUUGCUUCUGAAAAAUUCUCAGAGGAAUGUAUUACAAGUCUUAGACUGAAUCAUAUGAAAAUCCAUCCUUACCAUAUCCAGAGACAUGAGAAGGAUUUUUUUUUUAAAGGAGAUACUUGAUAGGCAGAAAAUUAAGAUGAACUUAAAAUGAUUCAGGUGACAAAUGUGGUCAAAAUACAGAGAGGAAGGAGAAGAGGGGAACAAACUGAAAAACACCAAAACAGCAUUCUGGUUCACACUGUAUUUAAAAGAUGAGUUACACUCCCCCCCCCCUUUUUUUUUUCAAUUUGCUUGUUUUUUUAUUUAAGUAUAAAUUUCCAAAGUACAGUUUAUGGAUUACAAUGGCUUCCCCCCCAUAGUUUCCCUCCCACUCGCACCCCUCCCAUCUCCCUCUCCCUCUCCCAUUCCAUUCACAUCAAGAUUCAUUUUCAAUUAUCUUCAUAUACAGAAGAUCGAUUCAGUAUAUAUUAAGUAAAGAUUUCAUCAGUUUGCACCCACACAGAAACACAAAGUGUAAAAUACUGUUUCAGUACUAGUUUUAGCAUUACUUCACAUUGGACAACACAUUAAGGACAGAUCCCACAUGAGAAGUAAGUACACAGUGACCCUUCUUAAACUUUAACCUGUGAGCUCUCGUAAAUUGGUCAAAACAUGAACACUCAAAAAAAAGCCUUUCCUACCAACUCAAAAGUUACUAACAGCCUCCAAAGUUGUCAGACUUGAAACUGAUUUAAGAAGUCAAACAGUUAAGGCAAUUCAAAUGUUACUAAGUAUAAUGACUAGCACAAGAUAGGUGAUUACAGGGACAAAAUCGACAAGGAGGAAAUGUUUCAGAAGUAAACUAGAGAUGUGGAGUUUGGGGGAGUAGUAUAUGCGCAUAUACAUCAAAUUUCUUUAUCCAAGUGUGUUUUCAAACUUUUUUCUUUUCUUGCAAGACUACUAUACUGACCAUGAACUUUUUGAACUCAGUCGCCCUCAACUGGAUUUGGUUAUUAACAAAAGGGAAAACCUGCAUAUAACUUGACAAUUGAAGCCCUUCUUCUGCUUUUAUUAAAGGAAAAAGCAGUAUUUAAUCUACUUGAUGAUUUGAGUUGUCAGUACCACUAAAGGGCAAUGUAAAUUAAAGCAAGAUUAUAGACUUCUGUGAGACUACAAAAAUAGCUUGUUAUAGGCAAGAAAACAACAGAAUUGAGGUUUUAACACGUCCUAUGAGAAACUAAUUUUUGGACUGUUAAGUGAGUAUAUUCAUGAUAUUUACGUAAGGCAUAUAAUUUUGAGCAAACAAUAAGCACACAGGAGGAAAGAAUGCUUUCAAGAUAAUUUGCUGGAUUAAAAGCUUUACAUAUCUUAAAAUAUUUUUCUAUAAUUUAUUCAAGCAAAAUUUCAUUUACAUAGAGAAUAUGCCAUUUAGUGAUAAAAAUAAGCCCAACUCCCACUGAAUCAUUUCAGAAGAGGAAAUCUUAGACAAAUUCAACCUCUCAAUUUAAUAUUAGGAGUUUACAAAUUCUUAAUUGAGCCAAAAUGUCAAUUAUGGGAAAGGUGAGGAUAUAAUCCAUGAUGAUGGCAAAGGAACAGAAACUAAAGAGGCCAGUGCCGCGGCUCACUAGGCUGAUCCUCUGCCUGAGGCGCCAGCACCUGGGGUUCUAGUCCCGGUUGGGGCGCCGGAUUCUGUCCCAGUUGCUCCUCUUCCAGUCCAGCUCUCUGCUGUGGCCCGGGAAGGCAGUGGAGGAUGGUCCAAGUGCUUGGGCCCUGCACCCGCAUGGGAGACCAGGAGGAAGCUCCUGGCUUUGGAUUGGCACAGUGCGCUGACCAUAACAGCCAUUUGGGGGUGAACCAACGAAAAAAGGAAGACCUUUCUCUGCCUCUCUCAUGGUCUAACUCUGCCUGUCAGAUAAAAAAAAAAAAAAAAAAAACUAGAGGCUCAAAUAUCUCCCUUGUAGGGAGGGAUCUCCAAAAUGUUCUGUCUUUGGAUCUCAUACAUUACCCUUAGCUAUCUCUUCCUGUGCUCAAUCAGCCUCUCCUUUAUCUAAACAUUUCCUUAGCAUUAUCUGUCUGUGGGAAAGUAAUAUUACUUUUCAAUCUCCCACCCCUGCCUCGACCAUUUAUUAAAACUGAGGGAGGGAAUCCAAGCAUCCGGGAGGUGUCAUCCUGUCAUUGCCACAGUGACAGAGCAGUUAUAAAUGUUGGCAGGGAUGUGACUUGCUUUGCAAUAAAGAAUCUGUCUCCUGCAAGUCAGACAGCAAUCUACAAGUUGUACAUCCAGCCUGACUUGUCAACAGUGAAAUGCAAAGGGCCGGUUUGUGUAUAUCUCAGGAUAUUUACCCUACUCGAAUAGCUUUGGCUGCCUUCCUCUGAAGCAGAUUUAACAGAUCUAGAAAUGGUAACUUGGUUUUUAAUUUCUCUUUAAAUUGAUCAGUUGUGGCUUCCAAAAGAGCAUCCAAGAGUCCAGAGUCUUAAUCUUUUUUGAAGUUCUGGUACUAUUUCUUUUCUUCCUGAAAUAGAAUUCUGAAUUAAAGUAAUUAACAACCAUUCUACCUACUUUUUGCAUACUAAAAUUUGCAAAGCACUUUAAUGUACACUAUUUCCUGUGGUCUAUGAAGAUAAAAGUGCAAUGUACAGGGAAAGCACUGAGCAAAGCAGCAAUACAUGCAGAUUCUACAAAUAGUCAUAUAAUAGGCAGAAAUCUGGGCUCCUGGAAAAGUAACCUGUUUUAUUUUUGUAAAGGUGAGGGCAUUAAAAAAAGACAACUAAGCCCCCACAUAUUUAACAUUUUGGUAUUCAAUGUAGUACAGAUAUGACUGCCAUUGAGUUCAUUUCAUUGCUUCACGCUAACAACACAAAUUUCAGGCAGGUUUGGCGAUGUGACCCAAAGUGUAUGUCUGAUAAGUUCAACCUUAACUUGAUUCCAGACAUUUGUAUAGAGCCUCCAAGAGCCUCUCAUCCUUUCAUAGAACCUGUUAGACUCGGCAGGCAGCGUCAAUGGCCCUUACCUAGGUUUCUUAAAUUAGCAACUGAAAACAAAGAUGCCCACUUAAAUUGGAAAAUGGAAUAAAAAUUAUUCAUAAGUAUGUCCUACACAAUCCCUAGGACAUAUCUAAAAAGCACUUUUAUUUAUUGGAAACUCAGUGUUAAUUGAGUAAACUCUAUUUUAUCUGACAUCUUAGAACUCAUAGGUGCUGGUCAUAUAAAAAUUUGCCAGGGUUAACCUCCAUCAUAAUUCAUCAGCCUCCUCUUCCUGCAGUUCCACUUGCUGAAAAAGCUGUCCUUCCCUGGUUUUCUUUUCACUAGAAAGUUUAUCUCCAUGACCCUUCAGUAGUCUCCACCUGGAUCAGAUCACACUAUCCCUAGUCCUCAACUUGUGUCAAAUUGUGUAUUUAUUUGCAGAGGGAAUAAUAUAGAACAAUCUUCAUAUGCUUUUCUCUUGUGAAAGGCUCCAAGGCUUUAACUUUCACCUUAUUAAGUCUAAUCUCCCCCAAAACCAGGUAAUGUUUCACACAAAAGAUUUCCUUGCCUUCUAUUUCACUCUCCUAACACUUCUGAAUUUCCUAAAAUUGCCAUAUGAUCACAUGACAAAUAUUUGCUAAGUGACUGUACUUGGAUACAUUUUAAAAAUUUUGGAAAAUACUAAAGAUAACAUGAAAUACAUGAAAUCAUUUUUGUAUUAACAAAAAUUUUAAAAACUUGGAAAAUAUGCUUUUAAAGACUUGAAAGGCAGAGUUAGAGAGGGAGAGACAAAUCUUCAUCUGUUGGCUCACUCUCCAAAUGGAUGCAAUGGCUGGGCCUGACCAGGCCGAAGCUAGGAGUUUCUUCUGGGUCUUCCACAUGGGUCGCAGGGGCCCAAGGACUAGGGCAUUUUUCCAUUGCUUUCCCAAGUGCAUUAGCAGAGAGCUGGAUCGGAAGUGGAGCAGCCAGGACUCCACCCUGUGCUUAUAUGGGAUGCUGGCAUCACAAGGAGCAGCUAUGCCACAACAGCAUCCCCAAAAUAAGCUUAUUUUGAUGCAAUGUUUUCCUGUGCUUAUGAAAAUGCUUUUGACAUACUCUAUGUAUAAUCUGUGUAAUACAUAAUCAGUACUACUGCCACAUUAAAAUAGAAAACUGAAGGAAUGGAUAGUCCGUUCUUUGACACAGCUUAACAUCUUUCCUAUAUUUUCAUCUAUGAAGAAAACCAUCAAUCUAUUUCCAUCAGUCCUGGAGCAGAUCUUUCUUUUAUCUAAUAAAUGCAGAUUAAAAUUAAGAUAUUUAGGCCAGCGCCGCAGCUCACUAGGCUAAUCCUCCGCCUUGCAGCACCGGCACACUGGGUUCUAGUCCCGGUAGGGGCGCCGGAUUCUGUCCCAGUUGCCCCUCUUCCAGGCCAGCUCUCUGCUGUGGCCCGGGAAGGCACUGGAGGAUGGCCCAAGUGCUUGGGCCCUGCACCCCAUGGGAAACCAGGAUAAGUACCUGGCUCCUGCCAUCGGAUCAGCACGGUGCGCCGGCUGCAGCGCGCUGACCACAGCAGCCCUUGGAGGGUGAACCAACGGCAAAGGAAGACCUUUCUCUCUGUCUCUCUCUCUCACUGUCCACUCUGCCUGUCAAAAAAAAAAAAUUAAGAUAUUUAGGUUAAAUUUAUGCAAUAAUAAAGUAUAACUAAUAAACUAUAUCUGAAUAGAAUCCCUAAGUAGAAAGAGAAUGAGUAGACAUGUUAAAAGCUACUUUAUGGCCGGCGCCGUGGCUCACUAGGCUAAUCUUCCGCCUUGUAGCGCCAGCACACCGGGUUCUAGUCCCGGUUGCCCCUCUUCCAGGCCAGCUCUCUGCUGUGGCCAGGGAGUGCAGGGGAGGAUGGCCCAAGUACUUGGGCCCUGCACCCCAUGGGAGACCAGGAUAAAUACCUGGCUCCUGCCAUCAGAUCAGCGCAGUGCGCCGGCCGCGGCGGCCAUUGGAGGGUGAACCAAAGGCAAAGGAAGACCUUUCUCUCUGUCUCUCUCUCUCACUGUCCACUCUGCCUGUCAAAAAAAAAAAAAAAAAAAAAAAAAAAGCUACUUUAUAAUAGUACAACAAAGUGGACUAGAUAGACUUCUAAUGUGAAUCCUAUCCACAAAUUAUCUAUAACCAGGGCCAGCUCUUUAAAGUGUAGUAAUUGCUUUACAUAUUACUAACUUGCUCUAUUCUUUUCUCACCUGAUUUGAAGAUAUGAAUGAGAAAUUCGGCUAGAUUCAACUUAAAAACAAUGCGAAUUUUCUUUUAAAGCAAAGACCACUGAAUAGCAGAUCUGCCAUUAUAUUUCUAAAAUGUGUAUCUGCUUCUCAUGUUGGAACUUGUACUGGAUAUAUUUUACUUUUAUGACAAUUGAGAAAGGUAGAUUUUCGCAUCAUAAUAGAACCCUUCCAUAGACAGUCACUUUAUAUUCCUGAGAUUUACUUAAACCUACAACUCAAGAUUUCUUCUUUCAAAAAUACUCUGCUUCAUUCAUGUACUUAAUUUACCUCGAAAAUUAAACAUGCAUUGUAACUUCAAUAUUUACGAGCUGUGUUAACAGCAAUUGAUACAGAAACCUGGUAUCUUGACUAAAAAGAAGGUGAAAAAUGUACUGAGGUAUAAACCAUAAUAUAAUGGUAAACUAAAAACUUGGGAAGACAAGAGAAAUAUAACGGCCAUGUUGCCAAUCUUUAAUUUUCUUUAAUUGGGUUGUAUUGCAUGAAUUAUGCCAGAACCUGUACUUAUCAGUGACAGACUAAAACACUCGGGGCUUACCAACUUCAUUUGCUAAAAGCCAGUCAUUGGCAGAACAGCACUGGGUAGAACGGGAAAUCUGCAAGAGUGAGCAAAGUGGCCCAGUUCAGCAUCUCUUCAGGUUGUUCCGUAUGGCAGCCGUGUGACCCGGAACAGCACACUGGAGGUCAAGGAGUGACAAGAAGUCGCUAUUGCAUUUCCACAUGAGUAAGGCCACUCUCCAAUUCUCUUGCAAAGAACUGACAGAUGUGCUUAUAGCGUCAGGCUGCCUGUCCUCAAGAGAAAUGGUGUGCAAGGAAAUUGCUUUUUUAAAAAAAAAAGCUGUGCUGUAAACAAAGAACCUUGAUUUCUGUCGCAUAGGGUGGAGAUAAGAUUGCCAAAGGUUGUCGGGGCAGGUGAGACUGAUCCUCGGAGUUCAGUAACUUCUCUUAUCUCAAGACUUCUUAUUGAAAAGAGAACCACCCAAAUCCAUUUCAGUCAAUCCCUGAGUAGAAUGUAAAAUAGAACUUCAGAAGUAAGAGCUCUUUAAUACUCUGUUGUAGAACAGUCGGUCAGAUGCCAAAAGUCUUACAUCUCCCUACAAGGUGUUAUAAACUUCCUAACCUAAAUACUGACUUUUGGAAGCCCUCUGAACUCUAAGACAGCAGGAUGUCACUACCUUUGUUGGAAUUAACUGUCACUAUUUUACACGGGAUUUACAGAAAACUGGCUCAUUAGAUCAUGGUAGCUCCUUCAGUGCUUGCAAGAUAGUUAAACUAAGAAGAAAAGCAAUUAGAUAUAUCAGCUUGAAAAUGUUAUAAGUGAAUGUUUGUUGUAAAGAAUAUUACAGUGUCAUAUGCACACAGAAGGCUGGUAGUUUGCAUUGACUGAAAUUGGAUGAGAGGGUGAAUGGGGAUUUAUAAAUAUGGCUCCCUGACAUGGAUAUGCUUGGAUUCUAAUCAGCUGGUAUUGAUUAACUGAGCAAAAUUCUUCCUGGGUGAAGAGCAAUUGAAGCCAAUCCCAAAGGGACAAAUAUCAUAUGUUCUCCCUGACUGGCGACAACUAACUGAGCACCAAAGGGGAAACUUGUUGAAGUGAAAUGGACACUAUGAGAAACAGUGACUUGAUCAGCUCUUGUCCUGAUGGUUGAUGUACAAUGUAAUACUUUAUCUAUUUUAGUAUUUUUUCUUUGUUCUAGUACCAUUGGUUGAACUCUGUAAUUAACACACAAUUAUUCUUAGGUGUUUAAAUUUUAACUGAAAACUGAUCCCUGUUAGGAAUUUGAAAACAUUAUGUUGAGUGAAAUAAGCCAAUCCCAAAGGGACAAAUACCACUUGUUCUCCUUGAUAGGUGACAACUAACUGAGCACCAAAAAGGAAACCUGUUAAAGUGAAAUGAACACUAUGAGAAACAGUGACUUGAUCAGCCCUCACCCUGACUGUUGAUGAGCAGCUUAAUAUGUUAUCCCUCUUAGUAUUUUUUUUUGUUUGUUCUACUUAAUACUUUUGGUUGACUACGGUAAUCAAUACACAAUUCUUCUUAAGUGCUAAAACUUAACUGAAAAGUGAUUGCUGUUAAAUAUAAAAGUGGGAAUAAGAGAGGGAAGAGAUGUGCAAUUCGGGACAUGCUCAAGCUGACUUACCUCAAACGGUAGAGUUAGAAACAUACCAGGGGAUUCCAAUUCAAUCCCAUCGAGGUUGCAUGUACCAAUGCCAUCUCACUAGUCCCGGUGAUCAAUUUCUGUUCCCAAUUGAUCAUAAUGAUAGGACUAAGAACCAAAGGGAUCACAUAAACAAGAAUAGUGUCUGCAAAUACUAGCUGAUAGAAUAAAAAAGGGAGAGAAUGAUCCAACAUGGGAAGUGAGAUACACAGCAGACCCAUAGAAUGGCAAAUAUCCUAACAGCACUCUGGCCUCAUAGUCAGCCCUUAAGGCAUGCAGAUCCGGCUGAAAAGCCCAUGAGAGUAUUUCAGGCAUGGAAAGCCAAGACACUCUGGGGGAAAAAAAAAACCUAAAUGAAAGAUCUCCACGAGUGAGAUCCCAGUGGAAAGAAUGGGUCAUCAAGGAAGGAGGUAGCUUUCUCUGAAGGGAGGAGAGAACUUCCACUUUGACCAUGGCCUUGUGUAAAUAUGAUCAGAGUUGGUGAACUCAAAAGUCUUCCAUAGCCUUGGCAGCUCAUGACAAGAGCCUCGUGUGAUUACUGAUGCCAUAAACAAGAGUGUCAAUUUGUUAAGUCAACAACAGGAGUCACUGUGCACUUACUCCUCAUGUAGGAUCUUUGUCCUUAGUGUGCUGUACAUUGAGAUUUAAUGCUAUAACUAGUACUCAAACAGUAUUUUUCACUUUAUGUUUCUGUGUGGGAGCAAACUGUUGAAAUCUUUACUUAAUGUAUGCUAAACUGAUCUUCUGUAUAUAAAGAGAAUCAAAAAUGAAUCUUGGGCCGGCGCCGUGGCUCAAUAGACUAAUCCUCCACCUUGCGGCGCCGGCACACCGGGUUCUAGUCCCGGUCGGGGCGCCAGAUUCUGUCCCGGUUGCCCCUCUUCCAGGCCAGCUCUCUGCUAUGGCCAGGGAGUGCAGUGGAGGAUGGCCCAGGUGCUUGGGCCCUGCACCCCAUGGGAGACCAGGAAAAGCACCUGGAUCCUGGCUCCUGCCAUCGGAUCAGCGCGGUGCGCCGGCUGCAGCGGCGGCCAUUGGAGGGUGAACCAACGGCAAAGGAAGACCUUUCUCUCUCUGUCUCUCUCUCUCACUGUCCACUCUGCCUGUCAAAAAUAAAAAAAAAAAA